UACGUAGGGGGCAAGCGUUGUCCGGAAUCAUUGGGCGUAAAGCGCGUGUAGGCGGUUCGGUAAGUCAGCUGUGAAAGUCCAGGGCUCAACCCUGGAAAGCCGGUUGAUACUGUCGGGCUAGAGUGCGGAAGAGGCGAGUGGAAUUCCUGGUGUAGCGGUGAAAUGCGCAGAUAUCAGGAGGAACACCGAUUGCGAAGGCAGCUCGCUGGGACGUCACUGACGCUGAGACGCGAAAGCGUGGGGAGCAAACAGG
Molecule: ribosomal RNA, 253 nt
Filed under: uncultured bacterium
Lineage: Bacteria
Description: partial 16S ribosomal RNA
Rfam family: Bacterial small subunit ribosomal RNA
Source: RNAcentral